UUACAGUCUCAUUGAGGGCACCUGUACCUUUUUAUCCUCCUGAGGUUAGGUGAAAUUCCUGCAUUUGUUUUGGAUGUUAUUUCGCAGUGAUUAGCAGGUAUCUGUCUGAGUGAAGCUCAGCAAAUAAUUGCAGGUCUCAUUUACCCAUGAUCCCGUGCUCGUCAUUCCUGAUGUCCAGAGGGGAUGAGUCCGAUUUAUCAUUGUUUCAGAUCGGAAACAAGCAAAGUGAAGCUGGGGACCUGCGCACAGGUAAAUGGCCAAACAUUAAACCUGACCCUGGAGCUGACGCAGAGACGGGACUUCCAGAGUUGUCGUUUCCCUCUGAAUGCUUUUCUGCUCCAUUUGCUGCCUUUACAGCCACGGUGCGGAAGGUUCGACCCCACCGUCACUACCCUGCAGGCCCGUCGGUGUGCCAGAGUCAAAGCAUCGAGGCUGAGGAGGGAUGGAAAUGAAUCGUAAAGACCCUGGAAAAUCCAUGAGAAAAGACACACACACACUUAUCCCUGCGAUCAGAGCAUAACCGAACAUGAGCUGACAGGAAAAACAGAAGUGAGCAGACUGUGAUCGUAAAUAAAUAAUAUUUCUUGUUGUUUUUCUGUACCCUAAAACAUAUAUGACAAAUUAGAAAAUCAGUGUAAAAUCAUCUAAGACUACAUUGUGAAAAGCUUCAGGUAUUUUCUUUUUCUCUUUCUCACUCGCUUCCUGUUUUACUUUGGUAAUCUCUUUCCCUUUGAACUUCUGUCCUUUUACUUCCUGUCUUUGUCUUUUUCCCUCCUUUUUGAUCAUUGCUUUCCUUAUUGGUCACUCCUGUGACCACAACAUAAAAUAGAGCUAUUUUUUACUUUCCUUAUUCUCCCUUCAUGUUCUUCUGAUCUGAUUGAAGCUUGUAAGUUUGUAUUCCCAUCUACUGAUAUUAUUUUAUUAUUAUGUUAAUUUAGCACAAGGUUCAGUUAGCUUUGCACAAAAAUAGAAACGUCCUCCAAAGAGCUACUUUUACUUACUUUGAGUACAUUUUAAAGCCAGUACUUUUUCACUUUUACCUGAGUAAAGAAGUUGAAUCUGUACUUCAAUUUUUACUGGAGUAUUGUUUUAACACUAGUAUCUGUACUUCUGAACUGUCUGCACAUUUGACACCUCUGCUUGAAAGAAGGUUACGUUCAGACAUUCUACAAAAAGCUCCACUUGUUGUGCUGGAAAGGGCAGCGUUGGGUCGUUGACUCUGUACUCAAACAUUUGUACAUAAAGCUAUCACUGGUCUGAGAAUGCUUAAAUGUCCAUCACAUCUGAAAAAUUAAGUGUAAAUAUGUUGAUUUUUUUAAAAGAAAAUCUUCCCCGUUUCUGUUCACCUGCCAGUUGAAACUCUUUUCUUGCGGGUUUACCAACAAAUAAACUCCUCCAGCUUUAUCAAAACUUUUUUUUUUUUCACAUUGAUUCAUUAAUUUUCUCCUUGCCUGAGUCCUCAUUAUUUCUUAAACUUAUUUUGGUGGUGAAUAUUCAGUGACUGUGGACUCUUAAAAUGCAUUGUUGGUGGGUAAUUGCAGAUUUCUCUGC
Molecule: long non-coding RNA, 1551 nt
Organism: Oreochromis niloticus (Nile tilapia)
Lineage: Eukaryota; Metazoa; Chordata; Actinopteri; Cichliformes; Cichlidae
Exons: 3
Source: RefSeq, a predicted model, not a curated record